This 63-nucleotide transfer RNA is filed under the name bovine gut metagenome. It matches the Rfam family "tRNA", at positions 6 to 65 of the family's 71-position model. From Rfam's summary of the family: Transfer RNA (tRNA) molecules are approximately 80 nucleotides in length. Their secondary structure includes four short double-helical elements and three loops (D, anti-codon, and T loops). The record is from RNAcentral.
GGUAGUUCAAUUGGUAGAGCGGCGGUCUCCAAAACCGUUGGUUGAGGGUUCAAGUCCUUCCCG